This is a long non-coding RNA of Jaculus jaculus (lesser Egyptian jerboa), 785 nucleotides long. RefSeq lists it as uncharacterized. The transcript is spliced from 2 exons. NCBI's taxonomy places the organism in Eukaryota, Metazoa, Chordata, Mammalia, Rodentia, Dipodidae. The record is from RefSeq and is a predicted model, not a curated record.
AGUUCCGUAACUAGCAACGCUGAAGUGGAAAGUGGGGCGGGGCCCACCGGCCGGAGCGGAAAGGCUAGCGCCUGCGUUCUGCGGCUCGUAACGGCCCUGCCCUCUGGGUAGCGAGCCAAUCGGAGUCCGGGUAGGAGGCAGAAAGCUCUGAGGGAGGGGAAAGUGUGUGAACCCCAAAGAACCGCCCCGUUUCGCUACGAGGUAGGAACUUCUUUUGUUCCCGUUCGGGCUUCUCUCUACAGCCAACUGGAACCAUCUCCAAAGUAGGUUUGCUCCGACUUAGCCAUCUGGCAGCUCGGGGUGCUGUUACUGCGAGGAGGGCACCGUGCCUCGGCCGGGCCCCUUCCCCCGGCUUCAGGAGCGGCUCCGCCUCAGAGGGACUGACAGCCAUGUUUACGGGGGAGUCAGGAUGAUGUACUCGGACCACAAACUUCCAGCUGGUACCACCACUAAUAAACCCGAGGCAGCAGGGCAAGAGUGGAGACGUACAAGGUUCUCACAAGUACCACUCACCACGACGUCAUUCCAGAACUCGUGGCAGGAGGUGCCUGAGUGGCACUCCCUGCCAAUUACGGGCAGCUUGGUGUGUCUUAAGUGUGGAGAGGAGAAGGAAGCUGAUGAAGUACAGCGUAAAGAAUGGUCUGCAGUACCUGCUUUCUGGGUGAGCUGGGCCACAGUGGGCAACACAGGAGGAUCCCUGGUCUGAAGGAAAUAGAUCACGAGCAACGUCAAGGCAUAGUUAUUGAGAAGUGGGCCACUCCCUGGGAAAUAAAAAGUAAUUACAA